GACGAACGCUGGCGGCGUGCUUAACACAUGCAAGUCGAACGGAAAGGCCCUGCUUUUGUGGGGUGCUCGAGUGGCGAACGGGUGAGUAACACGUGAGUAACCUGCCCUUGACUUUGGGAUAACUUCAGGAAACUGGGGCUAAUACCGGAUAGGAGCUCCUGCUGCAUGGUGGGGGUUGGAAAGUUUCGGCGGUUGGGGAUGGACUCGCGGCUUAUCAGCUUGUUGGUGGGGUAGUGGCUUACCAAGGCUUUGACGGGUAGCCGGCCCGAGAGGGUGACCGGCCACAUUGGGACUGAGAUACGGCUCAGACUGCUACGGGAGGCAGCAGUGGGGAAUAUUGCACAAUGGUCGGAAGCCUGAUGCAGCAACGCCGCGUGCGGGAUGACGGCCUUCGGGUUGUAAACCGCUUUCGCCUGUGACGAAGCGUGAGUGACGGUAAUGGGUAAAGAAGCACCGGCUAACUACGUG
RNAcentral lists this ribosomal RNA (468 nucleotides) under uncultured bacterium. Its description in RNAcentral is "partial 16S ribosomal RNA". It matches the Rfam family "Bacterial small subunit ribosomal RNA", at positions 28 to 507 of the family's 1533-position model. The record is from RNAcentral.